UUUAUCCUGGCUCAGAACGAACGCUGGCGGCAGGCCUAACACAUGCAAGUCGAGCGAGGACUUCGGUCCUAGCGGCGGACGGGUGAGUAACGCGUGGGAACGUGCCCUUCACUACGGAAUAGUCCCGGGAAACUGGGUUUAAUACCGUAUACGCCCUUCGGGGGAAAGAAUUUCGGUGAAGGAUCGGCCCGCGUCUGAUUAGGUAGUUGGUGGGGUAACGGCCUACCAAGCCUACGAUCAGUAGCUGGUUUGAGAGGAUGAUCAGCCACACUGGGACUGAGACACGGCCCAGACUCCUACGGGAGGCAGCAGUGGGGAAUCUUAGACAAUGGGGGCAACCCUGAUCUAGCCAUGCCGCGUGAGUGACGAAGGCCCUAGGGUCGUAAAGCUCUUUCACCAGGGAAGAUAAUGACGGUACCUGGAGAAGAAACCCCGGCUAACUCCGUGCCAGCAGCCGCGGUAAUACGGAGGGGGUUAGCGUUGUUCGGAAUUACUGGGCGUAAAGCGCGCGUAGGCGGACUGUUAAGUCAGGGGUGAAAUCCCGGGGCUCAACCCCGGAACUGCCCUUGAUACUGGCAGUCUCGAGUUCGAGAGAGGUGAGUGGAACUCCGAGUGUAGAGGUGAAAUUCGUAGAUAUUCGGAAGAACACCAGUGGCGAAGGCGGCUCACUGGCUCGAUACUGACGCUGAGGUGCGAAAGUGUGGGGAGCAAACAGGAUUAGAUACCCUGGUAGUCCACACCGUACACGAUGAAUGCCAGACGUCGGGCAGCAUGCUGUUCGGUGUCACACCUAACGGAUUA
RNAcentral lists this ribosomal RNA (801 nucleotides) under uncultured organism. RNAcentral describes it as "bacterial SSU rRNA". It matches the Rfam family "Bacterial small subunit ribosomal RNA", at positions 13 to 862 of the family's 1533-position model. The record is from RNAcentral.